This 468-nucleotide ribosomal RNA is filed under the name uncultured bacterium. RNAcentral's name for it is "partial 16S ribosomal RNA". It matches the Rfam family "Bacterial small subunit ribosomal RNA", at positions 28 to 507 of the family's 1533-position model. The record is from RNAcentral.
GACGAACGCUGGCGGCGUGCUUAACACAUGCAAGUCGAACGGAAAGGCCCUGCUUUUGUGGGGUGCUCGAGUGGCGAACGGGUGAGUAACACGUGAGUAACCUGCCCUUUACUUUGGGAUAACUUCAGGAAACUGGGGCUAAUACCGGAUAGGAGCUCCUGCUGCAUGGUGGGGGGUGGAAAGGUUCGGCGGUUGGGGAUGGACUCGCGGCUUAUCAGCUUGUUUGUGGGGUAGUGGCUUACCAAGGCUUUGACGGGUAGCCGGCCUGAGAGGGUGACCGGCCACCUUGGGACUAAGAUACGGACCAGACUCCUACGGGAGGCAGCAGUGGGAAAUAUUGCACAAUGGGCGGAAGCCUGAUGCAGCAACGCCGCGUGCGGGAUGACGGCCUUCGGGUUGUAAACCGCUUUCGCCUGUGACGAAGCGUGAGUGACGGUAAUGGGUAAAGAAGCACCGGCUAACUACGUG